This 301-nucleotide small nuclear RNA is filed under the name Neotoma lepida (desert woodrat). RNAcentral describes it as "7SK RNA". It matches the Rfam family "7SK RNA". From Rfam's summary of the family: 7SK was discovered as an abundant small nuclear RNA in the mid-70s but a possible function has only recently been suggested. Two independent studies have found that 7SK RNA binds the CDK9/cyclin T complex (known as elongation factor P-TEFb). Lineage: Eukaryota; Metazoa; Chordata; Mammalia; Rodentia; Cricetidae. The record is from Rfam by way of RNAcentral.
GGAUGUGAGAGUGAUUUGGCUGCACCGUGUGUCUCCCCACUGACUGCCAGUAUUGAUUCAGCUGAUCUGGCUGCCUAUGCAGGUGUCUCCUUCCUCCAUCACCUCUCUAUGUGUGUCCCUCCCAAAGCUGUGCACUCAAAGAGCAAGACCUCCCUCUAUAAUGCAGGACUAUUCUUUGAUCGAGAGUAUACACGUAGAUGUGCUCCCCUGCUAAAAUCUCCAAACAAGCUCUCAAAGGCACAUUCAUUUUAAAUUCACAGGCUGAAAAGUGAUGAAAAGAAGACGUUGCAAGUCUAUGUUU